RNAcentral lists this non-coding RNA (24 nucleotides) under Arabidopsis thaliana (thale cress). Lineage: Eukaryota; Viridiplantae; Streptophyta; Magnoliopsida; Brassicales; Brassicaceae. The record is from RNAcentral.
GAAAAGGUAAAAGACUCUAGGUGA